This 253-nucleotide ribosomal RNA is filed under the name uncultured bacterium. RNAcentral's name for it is "partial 16S ribosomal RNA". It matches the Rfam family "Bacterial small subunit ribosomal RNA", at positions 524 to 776 of the family's 1533-position model. The record is from RNAcentral.
UACGUAGGGCGCAAGCGUUGUUCGGAAUUACUGGGCGUAAAGCGCACGUAGGCGGCAUUGCAAGUCGGAUGUGAAAUCCCUCGGCUUAACCAAGGAAGUGCAUCCGAAACUGCAGUGCUUGAGUACUUAAGAGGAUCGCGGAAUUCCCGGUGUAGAGGUGAAAUUCGUAGAUAUCGGGAGGAACACCAGUGGCGAAGGCGGCGAUCUGGGAAGAUACUGACGCUGAGGUGCGAAAGCGUGGGGAGCAAACAGG